AUGCCCGAGGCCGAGACGGGGCCCGAUGCCGAGACGGUGCCCGAUGCCGAGACGGUGCCUGAUGCCGAGACGGUGCCCGAUGCCGAGGCGGUUGCCGAGACGGUGCCCGAUGCCGAGGCGGUGCCCGAGGCGGUCCCCGAUGCCGAGGCGGUGCCCGAUGCCGAGGCGGUGCCCGAGGCCGAGGCGGGGCCCGAGGCCGAGGCGGUGCCCGAUGCUGAGGCGGUGCCCGAGGCGGUGCCUGAUGCGGUUCCCGAUGCAAUGUCCGAUGCCGAGGCAGUGCCCAAUGCCGAGGCGGUGCCCGAGGCGGUCCCCGAGGCCGAGGCGGUGCCCGAGGCGGUGGCCGAGGCGGUCCCCGAUGCCGAGGCGGUGCCCGAUGCGGAGGCCGUUCCCGAUGCGGUGUCCGAGGCAGGGUCCGAGGCCAUUCCCGAGGCGGUGCACGAGGCAGUGUUCGAUGCGGUGCCAGAGAUGGGUCCCGAGGCCGACUCGGUUCCCGAUGCCGUUGUGGGACCCGAGGCCAUUCCCGAUGCGGUGCCCGAGGCGCUGUCCGAUGUGGUGCCCGAGAUGGUUCCCGCGGUCGAGGCACUUCACGUCUCCACAGGCCGUCCAGAGCACCUUCACGUCUCCACAGACCGUCCACUCUGGUCGCUCAAGUGGCGAGUUCCUCCCUGGCUGUCUGCACAACUGAGAUGGACUGAUCCACCCUGGCCACCUGAACUGUCUGGUCCCUCGUGGUCCCCUGAACUUUCGGGUCCACCCUGGCUACCUGUACUGCCUGGUCCCUCGUGGUCCCCUGAACUUUCGGGUCCACCCUGGCCACCUGAACUGCCUGGUCCCUUGUGGUCCCCUGAACUUUUGGGUCAACCCUGGCCCCCUGAACUGUCUGAUCCACCUUGGCUGCCGGUGGAGCCAUUACUGCCGGUCCCCGUUCUCCUACACGGGCCUGGCCCGCCAUCCCUCCCACUGUUCUACCUCAACCAGUCCAACUCCCUCCUGGUCUUUUUGAUUUGUUUUUUUGAUCUGGGGAGCAUCUGGAAGCUGCUCCUUAGAGGGGGGGCUAAUGUCACAGUGUCUGUUCUGUGUCUCCCUGGGUGGCCACUAGAGGUCUCACUUCCCCUGAUUGUCACCCCCUUCUGA
Cyprinus carpio (common carp) is the source of this 1134-nucleotide long non-coding RNA. Lineage: Eukaryota; Metazoa; Chordata; Actinopteri; Cypriniformes; Cyprinidae. The record is from Ensembl.